This 254-nucleotide ribosomal RNA is filed under the name uncultured prokaryote. Its description in RNAcentral is "partial 16S ribosomal RNA". It matches the Rfam family "Bacterial small subunit ribosomal RNA", at positions 524 to 777 of the family's 1533-position model. The record is from RNAcentral.
UACGGAGGAUGCAAGCGUUAUCCGGAUUCAUUGGGUUUAAAGGGUGCGUAGGCGGAAAUGUAAGUCAGUGGUGAAAUCCUGCAGCUUAACUGUAGAAUAGCCGUUGAAACUGUGUUUCUUGAGUACAUUUGAGGUAGGCGGAAUGUGGUGUGUAGCGGUGAAAUGCAUAGAUAUACCACAGAACACCGAUUGCGAAGGCAGCUUACUAAACUGUCACUGACGCUGAUGCACGAAAGCGUGGGGAUCAAACAGGA